UGACGAGUGGCGGACGGGUGAGUAAUGCUUGGGAACAUGCCUUUGUGAGGGGGAUAACUGUUGGAAACGACGGCUAAUACCGCAUAACGACUGAGGUCCAAAGGGGGGAGUUUGCUCCUCUCGCGCAAAGAGUGGCCCAAGUGAGAUUAGCUGGUUGGUGAGGUAAAGGCUCACCAAGGCGACGAUCUCCAGCUGUUCUGAGAGGAAGAUCAGCCACACUGGGACUGAGACACGGCCCAGACUCCUACGGGAGGCAGCAGUGGGGAAUAUUGCACAAUGGGGGAAACCCUGAUGCAGCCAUGCCGCGUGUGUGAAGAAGGCCUUCGGGUUGUAAAGCACUUUCAGUUGUGAGGAAAGGUUGUUGGUUAAUACCCAGCAGCUGUGACGUUAGCAACAGAAGAAGCACCGGCUAACUCCGUGCCUGCAGCCGCGGUAAUACGGAGGGUGCGAGCGUUAAUCGGAAUUACUGGGCGUAAAGCGCACGCAGGCGGAAUGUUAAGCUAGAAGUGAAAGCCCUGGGCUCAACCUGGGAAGGCCUUUUAGAACUGGCAUUCUAGAGUUUUGGAGAGGGGAGUGGAAUUCCACGUGUAGCGGUGAAAUGCGUAGAUAUGUGGAGGAACAUCAGUGGCGAAGGCGACUCUCUGGCCAAAGACUGACGCUCAUGUGCGAAAGUGUGGGUAGCGAACAGGAUUAGAUACCCUGGUAGUCCACACCGUAAACGCUGUCUACUAGCUGUGUGUGAUUUUAAAUUGUGCGUAGCGAAGCAAACGCGCUAAGUAGACCGCCUGGGGAGUACGGCCGCAAGGUUAAAACUCAAAUGAAUUGACGGGGGCCCGCACAAGCGGUGGAGCAUGUGGUUUAAUUCGAUGCAACGCGAAGAACCUUACCAGGACUUGACAUCCA
Molecule: ribosomal RNA, 903 nt
Filed under: uncultured bacterium
Lineage: Bacteria
Description: bacterial SSU rRNA
Rfam family: Bacterial small subunit ribosomal RNA
Source: RNAcentral